AUUGAACGCUGGCGGCAGGCCUAACACAUGCAAGUCGAGCGGAUGAAGGGAGCUUGCUCCUGGAUUCAGCGGCGGACGGGUGAGUAAUGCCUAGGAAUCUGCCUGGUAGUGGGGGAUAACGUCCGGAAACGGGCGCUAAUACCGCAUACGUCCUGAGGGAGAAAGUGGGGGAUCUUCGGACCUCACGCUAUCAGAUGAGCCUAGGUCGGAUUAGCUAGUUGGUGGGGUAAAGGCCUACCAAGGCGACGAUCCGUAACUGGUCUGAGAGGAUGAUCAGUCACACGGGAACUGGGACACGGUCCAGACUCCUACGGGAGGGAGCAGUGGGGAAUAUUGGACAAUGGGCGAAAGCCUGAUCCAGCCAUGCCGCGUGUGUGAAGAAGGUCUUCGGAUUGUAAAGCACUUUAAGUUGGGAGGAAGGGCAGUAAGUUAAUACCUUGCUGUUUUGACGGUACCAACAGAAUAAGCACCGGCUAACUUCGUG
This 484-nucleotide ribosomal RNA is filed under the name uncultured bacterium. RNAcentral describes it as "partial 16S ribosomal RNA". It matches the Rfam family "Bacterial small subunit ribosomal RNA", at positions 30 to 507 of the family's 1533-position model. The record is from RNAcentral.